Molecule: ribosomal RNA, 627 nt
Filed under: Providencia rettgeri
Lineage: Bacteria; Pseudomonadati; Pseudomonadota; Gammaproteobacteria; Enterobacterales; Morganellaceae
Description: partial 23S ribosomal RNA
Source: RNAcentral
UAUCCGUAAGGAGAAGCUCUUGAUCGAAGCCCCAGUAAACGGCGGCCGUAACUAUAACGGUCCUAAGGUAGCGAAAUUCCUUGUCGGGUAAGUUCCGACCUGCACGAAUGGCGUAAUGAUGGCCAGGCUGUCUCCACCCGAGACUCAGUGAAAUUGAACUCGCUGUGAAGAUGCAGUGUACCCGCGGCAAGACGGAAAGACCCCGUGAACCUUUACUAUAGCUUGACACUGAACAUUGAGCCUUGAUGUGUAGGAUAGGUGGGAGGCUUCGAAGYGUGGACGCCAGUCUGCRUGGAGCCAACCUUGAAAUACCACCCUUUAAUGUUUGAUGUUCUAACGUUGCCCCGUUAUCCGGGGUGCGGACAGUGUCUGGUGGGUAGUUUGACUGGGGCGGUCUCCUCCCAAAGAGUAACGGAGGAGCACGAAGGUUGGCUAAGCAUGGUCGGACAUCAUGCGGUUAGUGCAAAGGCAUAAGCCAGCUUGACUGCGAGAGUGACGGCUCGAGCAGGUACGAAAGUAGGUCUUAGUGAUCCGGUGGUUCUGAAUGGAAGGGCCAUCGCUCAACGGAUAAAAGGUACUCCGGGGAUAACAGGCUGAUACCGCCCAAGAGUUCAUAUCGACGGCGGU